AAAGGGGAAGCAAGCACAUCUUCACAUGGCAGCCAGAGAGACAGACAGAGAGUGAAGAGGGAAGUGCAACACACUUUUAAACAACCAGAUCAUGUGAGAACUUACUAUCAUGAGAACAGCAAGGGGGUAAUCUGCCCCCAUGACCCAAUCACCUCCCCCCAGGUCCCUCCCCCAACGUUGGGGAUUACAAUUCAACAUGAUAUCUGGGUGGGGACACAGAGCCAAACCAUAUCACCAUGGUACUCCUUGACUUGUAGAUAUCCAACCUCUUCCUCUAUCUUCACGGGACAUUUUCCCUGUUUCUCUGGGUCUUCAUAUGACCGAUUUUUUUUUUAUAUGUAUGCCAGUUAUAUUGGGAAUAGGGCCUACCUUACUCCAAUGUGACCUCAUCUUAACUAAUCAAAUCUGCAUGUGAAAUAAUUAAAUCAGAAUGUGACUUCCAAACAAGGUCACAUUCUGAGAUACUGAGGGUUAAAGCCUUCAACACAUUAUUUUGGAGGGAAAACAAUUCAACUCAUAACAGUAGAGGUAUCCAAACUUUUAUGAACAUACACACCCAAAAUUAAAAUAUAUUGUGCACAUACCUCAUUAUGUCUGUGUGGUUAUGUGACAUAUAUAUACGCGCGUAUAUAUACACACAUAUAUACAUAUACGCGCGUAUAUAUAUACACAUAUAUACGCGCG
Molecule: long non-coding RNA, 684 nt
Filed under: Homo sapiens (human)
Lineage: Eukaryota; Metazoa; Chordata; Mammalia; Primates; Hominidae
Description: HSALNT0033075
Source: RNAcentral